UGAAAAUCACCGAGGGCGACCUGUGGAUCCGCACGUACGGCCGCCUCUUCCAGAAGCUCUGCUCCUCCAGCGCCGAGAUCCCCAUUGGCAUCUACCGGACAGAGAGCCACGUCUUCUCCACCUCGGAGCCCCACGACCUCAGAGCCCAGGUAAGCAACCCCUCCGUGCCCACGCAGCUUCUGCGGAGCACCAGAACAUCGCAGCUUCACAUGGAGAAGCCUGCCAGGCCCCACCCACCCACAGGGCCCUGGGAAAGCCGAGGCAGGAGCGGGUCCCAUGGAUGUGUCGGCCCCAGCACGGCUCAGAGAAGGCUGUUGACAGUCACUCCCUCCUGCACUGGUGGUGGGGAAGCUGAGGCCUGGGGGGAGUAGCCUGUGAGUUUGGACACCAGGUGCACCCCCGCCCCCUCCCAGGCCCCACCAAGGCAGGCAGCCCCCAUGCCCAUCUGGCCUGACCAUCCAGCCCCCAGCCUCCCAGGCCUUUCUGAAGGUGCCACCCCGGUGGGGAGCCUACCUCUUCCCAGCACCCCACGACCCACAGGCUCUGGCACCCCACAUUCCCCAGGUUCGGGGCCUCCAAAGGGUGUGUUUGCAAGAGGGAUCAGGGCUCAUCUGCAGAUGGAGAAAUUGACACGCAGAGGGGGUGACCUCUCAGGGCAAGGCCAGGAUGUGCUGGGGUCCAGAUGGGUCCCAGGCCGGACCCACAGAAAUAAGGGCUCAGAGAGGUGAAGGGAGCUGCCCUCAGCAGCCUGGCGAAUCCCUUGACCAGGCCCGGGCAGGGUGGAUGGCCCGGCGAUCUGUGCUCAGGAGGAAACCAGGCACACGCACCCUGGGGUCUGUCGUCAUCCUCUUCCCUAACACCCCCAGCUGCUCCCACGCAGGCCCCAAGCCGCAGAGCCCACACCUCUUCCUAAGCCCCUGCCCCAAAGCCCACGACCCUCCCGGCAGCCUCACCCCUCCCUGCCCUGCCCAGUCCCAGAUCUCGGUGAACGUGGAGGACUGUGAGGACACACGGGAAGUGAAGGGGCCCUGGGGCUCCCGCGCUGGCACCGGAGGCAGCUCCCAG
RNAcentral lists this long non-coding RNA (1065 nucleotides) under Pan troglodytes (chimpanzee). RNAcentral's name for it is "long non-coding RNA NONPTRT017674". Lineage: Eukaryota; Metazoa; Chordata; Mammalia; Primates; Hominidae. The record is from RNAcentral.